This 71-nucleotide transfer RNA is filed under the name Fusobacterium phage Fnu1. It matches the Rfam family "tRNA". From Rfam's summary of the family: Transfer RNA (tRNA) molecules are approximately 80 nucleotides in length. Their secondary structure includes four short double-helical elements and three loops (D, anti-codon, and T loops). Further hydrogen bonds mediate the characteristic L-shaped molecular structure. tRNAs have two regions of fundamental functional importance: the anti-codon, which is responsible for specific mRNA codon recognition, and the 3' end, to which the tRNAs corresponding amino acid is attached (by aminoacyl-tRNA synthetases). tRNAs cope with the degeneracy of the genetic code in two manners: having more than one tRNA (with a specific anti-codon) for a particular amino acid; and 'wobble' base-pairing, i.e. permitting non-standard base-pairing at the 3rd anti-codon position. RNAcentral also lists the same sequence under 3 other names. Lineage: Duplodnaviria; Heunggongvirae; Uroviricota; Caudoviricetes. The record is from Rfam by way of RNAcentral.
GUGGGAGUAGUGUAAUGGUAGCACAACAGUUUGUGGCACUGUUAGAUUGGUUUCAAAUACCAACUCUCACA